RNAcentral lists this unclassified non-coding RNA (329 nucleotides) under soil metagenome. RNAcentral's name for it is "partial contains 5.8S ribosomal RNA, internal transcribed spacer 2, and large subunit ribosomal RNA". The stretch from base 1 to 120 matches the Rfam family "5.8S ribosomal RNA", at positions 35 to 154 of the family's 154-position model. The record is from RNAcentral.
GAUGAAGAACGCAGCGAAAUGCGAUAAGUAAUGUGAAUUGCAGAAUUCAGUGAAUCAUCGAAUCUUUGAACGCACAUUGCGCCCCCUGGUAUUCCGGGGGGCAUGCCUGUCCGAGCGUCAUUACAACCCUCAAGGUCAGCUUGGUGUUGGGCCCCGCCGCCCCGGCGGGCCCUAAAGUCAGUGGCGGUGCCGUCCGGCUCCGAGCGUAGUAAUUCUUCUCGCUCUGGAGGUCCGGUCGUGUGCUCGCCAGCAACCCCCAAUUUUUUUCAGGUUGACCUCGGAUCAGGUAGGGAUACCCGCUGAACUUAAGCAUAUCAAUAAGCGGAGGA